GAGCUUCGGAGAAGCAGUGGUGGGUUCCAUGUGAUGGUGGAGUAGGAGGCAGGUCUCCGCGGAAAGAAAAAAGAAGAAAACAAACCUCCAUACGAGAAUGGGUCUAAAGGAACUUCCCAAACCUCCAUGAUUUUGCAGGAAACAAGAUAAAGGUAAUCACCUGCAGCACCUGGACCCAUCUAGAUUAACUACUCAGCCUCCAGAGGAAGGUCUUCAGGACUCAGACCUUAGUUAUAGAUUAGAAGUUAAUCACUUAUGUCUUCAGACAGGCCCUGUUCCAUGUUUAGAGAGAGAUCUUUGAGCACCCAUCUUCAUACAUUUGAGAACAGGGUCACUGAGAGGGAGUCUCUGAGGUCACAGAGUUUAUUAGUUCAUUUUCACACUCCAGGAAAGAAGUUUAAUUCACAGUUCCACAUGGCUGGGGAGGCCUCAGGAAACUUACAAUCAUGGUGGAAGGGGAAGCAAACACAUCCUUCACGUGGCAGCAGGAGAGAGAAGUGCAGAAGAGGGGAAAGUCCCCUUAUAAAACCAUCAGAUCUCGUGGGAACUCACUCAGUAUCACGAGAACAGCAUGUGGGAACCACUCCCAUGAUGUAAUGCCCUCUCACAAGGCCCCUCCCCCAACACGUGGGGAUUACAGUUCAAAAUGACAUUUGGGUGCAGACACAGAGCCACACCAUAUUACAGAGCCAGAAGAGCUGAGCAGUGGGCGCUAAGUAAAUGUUCAUUAAACCAAACCCCUGCACAAGGCUGGCUUCAUAGAGGUGCCACCUGUGCAGUGGCAAAAGCCCCACUGUCAGAGGGGACCUGAACUUGUUUUAGUGCUAUGUUGUCACUGCCUUCAAAUUCUUAACAAUUUUUGAACAGACUCCACAUUUUCAGUUAGCACCGGGUCCUGCAAAUUAUGUACCCAGUCCUGUCCCUGAAACAAAGAUAAGGUUUGUUCAUGAAGGGACUCACUCGACCCCUCCCUGCCCAUCUCACUCCAAGAUGCCCUAAGUAAAGGGGAACACAGAGCUAGGAGAAGGCAGUAUUUGAGGAUGAUCUUGGAGGUCCCACC
Homo sapiens (human) is the source of this 1060-nucleotide long non-coding RNA. Ensembl annotates it as double homeobox A pseudogene 9. Its record names the gene DUXAP9. The record is from Ensembl. NCBI's taxonomy places the organism in Eukaryota, Metazoa, Chordata, Mammalia, Primates, Hominidae.